This 167-nucleotide ribosomal RNA is filed under the name Vibrio atlanticus. RNAcentral describes it as "partial 16S ribosomal RNA". It matches the Rfam family "Bacterial small subunit ribosomal RNA", at positions 1369 to 1533 of the family's 1533-position model. The record is from RNAcentral. Lineage: Bacteria; Pseudomonadati; Pseudomonadota; Gammaproteobacteria; Vibrionales; Vibrionaceae. RNAcentral also lists the same sequence under 1 other name.
CGUUCCCGGGCCUUGUACACACCGCCCGUCACACCAUGGGAGUGGGCUGCAAAAGAAGUGGGUAGUUUAACCUUUCGAGGAGGACGCUCACCACUUUGUGGUUCAUGACUGGGGUGAAGUCGUAACAAGGUAGCCCUAGGGGAACCUGGGGCUGGAUCACCUCCUUA